UGACCCCAUGCCUUGGAGACGGCGACCCUCAACCCCUUGCUGCUGUGGUGCACUGGGCACAUCUGUGACGAGGAGGAGGCGAGCCACAAUUCAUCACCUUCCUCGUCUCUCUCAUGGCUGUGCACAAGGAUGUCCGCACCCCGAGCCGAGCUCUGUUUGACCGGAGGACAAGCAGAGGAAAGGCGAACAGGGGUGAUGACAUGGCUCCUGAGCAAGGUGAACAUCGCCUUUAAGGCGAGCGGUGGCGGUAUCUCCCUUACAACCGCACUUCAUUUCUUACAUUGUUUGCUCCUCUUAUCAAGGGCACAUCGGUCAGAUGCAUCCUUGAAAAAAGGGUACAUUGAUCAAGUUGUUUCCUGAUGUUUGCACUCGCUGCUUUAUAGCGUAUUUUUUUCAUAUGAUUUUGGAUAUUUUGUUUCCGUACUGUACCUUAGUUUGGAAUUUAUUUUGUAGGCACCUUAUCUUGGGCCCCUACAAUAAGUAAACUCAACAUGCGUGAUUCUGAUUAGAGGCAACCGGAUCGUUAUUGAACAUAUUGAUGAUUCCUGCUGUGUAUUCUCAAGGAAUGGUCAGGUUUAGUACUGUAACUAUUUUCUUAUCAAAUAUAUUUGGGUGGUGCUCAAAAUGCAGAGCUGAAAAGCAAGAAACGUAAAGCCACCUCUGAAGAUAAGUUCACCAUGCCUCCCAGAGUGUCACCCCGCUUCGUUGAACUUAAUGGAAUAAGAUCAGAUCAGAAUAACCUUUGUAAACUAGGCAACUGAAUCAUUUCAUUGUUGCUUGUCCAUGUAACGAAGAACUAUCAUUUGGGUACCAAGUUCCACUUCAGGCCAGGAAAAUUUCUUAUAACUUCAAAACGGCAAGGGAUGCACCAUUGUCUUCAGGUCUGCCUUGCAGGUUGGAGUGCAGCUUUCAGAUAUCUUUCUUUCCUUGGGAUAGUUGGAAUGGAAUACUAUGACUAGAUAUACAAUGGUAUUGUUAUCAGUGUUCGGCCUUCAAUGAUUUCGGUGCAGCAUGUCUAGACCAUCAACGGCAAUUUGAGCUCCUUAGUGAAGUAGGUGCUUACAUCAAUCUCGUGCAUAGUCUCGAUCACCACCACCGGGGCAGCUACUUCUGCUGGCAGGGGCUGGGCGCUGCCGUGAGGAUGCUAUCACCCAUGCGCGCAGUGAUGGCAUGGUGGCCGAAGAAGGCCGUCUUCUGGGGAGCCGCGCGCUGGCCGCCAUCUCCACCCGCGGCCACACCAAUAAGACAGGUGAUUUUAGGGUUGGUUCUGUCUAAAACCAAGCUGGCAGGUGAGCCAAAUCAAUCAUUUCACGGUUCUUAAACAGUACAUAACAUAAUGCUAAUUGUGUGUUUUUCAGUAAUAUGCAGAGAAGGUUCGCCUGACAUAAUGACCAACGAGAGCAAGUUGUUUUUUCUUGAUGAAAAUGAUAGCUACCACUUGAUGAGAUUUAGCAAUACAAGCAUUUCCUCUAAUUUUAUUUGUAGGUAAUCCUUUAAGCUCCAAGGAAAUAGCUGAAUGUCACUACCAAAUUAAAUUACCUUUGUACAGAAAAUACGUGGAGUUAUGUGAU
This is a non-coding RNA of Triticum urartu, 1571 nucleotides long. NCBI's taxonomy places the organism in Eukaryota, Viridiplantae, Streptophyta, Magnoliopsida, Poales, Poaceae. The record is from RefSeq and is a predicted model, not a curated record.